Molecule: long non-coding RNA, 1072 nt
Filed under: Homo sapiens (human)
Lineage: Eukaryota; Metazoa; Chordata; Mammalia; Primates; Hominidae
Description: HSALNT0380759
Source: RNAcentral
ACUAAGCAAGGAGUGAGAGCUCUGUUGUUCUGCUGAUGGGGCUCAGUCUGUUCUUCCUCUUUUCCAACAAUCACACUUAUUUCCAGGAAAGAGAAACCUCUACAUGGAUCCCUUGCAUGGGUGUUGUACAAUGGGAGCUUUCAUUCCUGCUUUGGCACCUGCAACCCUGGGUUAACAGUACCAUGGAGCGGAGAAAGCGUUUACCAGAGUGCGGUGCCGCGAUCCCACCCCGUGCAGCAGUUGAGCAGAGGUCAUCUUUAAGUAAAAGCCAUCUGAUAUUUUACUGCAAGCAUGUGGCAGUGAAGACGACAAUGACUGCUAGUAUGGUUUGUGCCACUGCCUUGAUUUCCGCUCAGGCACCAGCAGUCUUACCCACCAUUGCUUUGGUGCAGUUGGUGGAGAUAUCAAUGGAUCAAAAGCGCAAGUAAUAUGUUUCAGAUACAUGGAUGUGUCUGCAAGAUGCUAGAUGCCUCCUGGAACACAUUUGCCUGGUGGCAGGAGCCAAGUCCUGGCAGAAGUCAGGAAGCAGGUCUAACGGGCAUCAGCGGAGAAACUAGGAAUGCUAACCAUUGUCUCUUUCUCUUUCAGAGCUGUCUCUCUUCAUUUCCAAAAUUAAAAGAUUUUUACUUCCCCCCACCUCAUUUAUACAUUUCGCUGGUCAUUGUAGGCCUUCUCAUGAUAUAAAAAACAAUGACCAUUACCUCAUUGGUAAAUAGGUAGAUCAAAGUCUUUAUGUAUAGCUACGUAUCUAAUUUUUUUCCUUAAUUAUCUCAAUACCAAAAUCAAGACAAGUUGUGGGUUGGGUAGGCACAGGAGGAUGGGAGUGGGCUUGCCUUCCAGGCAGCCUGACAAGCCUUGCCGAGGUCAGGUUGCUUUGCCAUCAGAGUCCAUCUUCUGACUUCAGGCAUGUCAGGUCUUUGGCAGUCUCUCCUCUCUGGCUUCCCCUCAGUUAAUCCCCUCCUGGCCAAGCUUGUCAGGUGGGCCCUAUUUGGGUCCAAAGAAGCACUAAAUAAAUGUCGAUUGAGGCAGCUUAUCCUAAUGAUGGCAAUUAUGACAGUGAUGUUUUUCUUUU